Eucalyptus grandis is the source of this 1752-nucleotide RNA transcript. RefSeq lists it as uncharacterized. The record is from RefSeq and is a predicted model, not a curated record. The transcript is spliced from 10 exons. Lineage: Eukaryota; Viridiplantae; Streptophyta; Magnoliopsida; Myrtales; Myrtaceae.
AGCAGAAAGAUGUAUACGCCCCCCGAAUCCCCAGCGACGAUGGAGCUCGCCGUCGCUCCUAUUCGCCGUCUCGCUCCUCGAGCCUCGAUGCCAGAGAAGCCGUUCCUUCGCCACUUCGGCUUCCACCGUCGUCCCGCGACGAGCCGCCGUCCCCGAGGGCCGCGUCUCUCCGCGACGUCCCGUCGCUCGGCGUCCGGCGCCGGCUCUCCUCACUUCACGGGCGAGGACAAUCUCGAUGCCUUAUUGCAGGUUCUUCCAAGCGACUUGCAUGAUGAUCUGAUGGGUGAACCUGGUCGAUCUCAACUCGUAGAGGUGAUACUAGAUUUGGGCCGUUUGCCUGAAGCACGUUAUCAAGGUGAAAUUGGUGGAAAAUACUUGAGGCCAACUGAGGUUACAAUGAAAGAUCUGGAGCAUGCGCUAGAUGCUGUUGGAGAAUUUAUAGACAAUAGAGCUGGCAUGGCAGGGACCUUGCAUAGGAUAUCUGCCAUCAAGAACAGGGAGGGGGCCGUGGUUGGUUUAACAUGCCGAGUUGGCAGGGCAGUCAUUGGUCAUGGUGACAUGGUCUAUGAUUUACUUCGAUACGGGAAGAGCAUCCUGUUUGUUGGAAGGCCAGGUGUUGGUAAGACAACUGCAAUGCGAGAUAUAGCUCGUGUAUUGUCUGAUGAACUUUGCAAAAGAGUGGUGAUUGUUGAUACAAGCAAUGAAAUAGGUGGAUAUGGAGAUGUUCCACAUGCAGCUAUAGGAAGAGCCCGAAGAUUGCAGGUUCCAGAACCAUCAUUGCAGCACAAGGUCAUGAUCGAGGCGGUGGAGAAUCACAUGCCUGAAGUGAUCAUUGUGGAUGAAAUUAGCACUAGGGCCGAAGCUUUUGCUUGUCAGUCAAUCGCUGAAAGAGGUGUCAUGCUUAUUGGGACAGCACAUGGUGAAACACUUAAGAACAUGCUAAAGAACCCUAAUCUUUCUGACCUGGUUGGGGGAGUACGAGCUGUUACUUUAGGCGAUGAUGAAGCUCGACUAAGGAGAUCUCGAAAGAUUGUUCUUGAGAGAAAAGCUCCUCCAACAUUUCCUUUUGUGGUAGAGAUGCGGAACAGAUGCUAUUGGGUGAUGCAUCGGACAGAAAAAAGCGUGGAUAUGUUGCUUAAUGGUAAAUUGCCUCUGGUUGAGUUAUACAGCUCAGAAGCUCCUUGGUUUUUCAGGUCAGGAAGCGAGAUGACCAGUUCAAGGUUGUAAUAGAGAGGUGGAAGAUGUACAAUGACAAUAUGCUUGAAUAAUUUUCCCCUUUUGUUUGCUAAUUUCUCGUGACAAACUCCGCCUCUUCAUCCAGCUAUUUUUAAGCAUAUCUUUGUGCUAGGAUUGCUUCAGUUUGUGAUUCUAGACCACGACCUAUGGUAUGGCAUCUGGCUAGAAAAGAAUGUUUGGUCUAAAUUAUCACCUCAUCAUGUGUUUCCUAACAGCCAUACCAGUGGAAGGAAUCUAUUCCCCUUUUACUCGAUUCAUUUCAAGCGAGCAAGUGAGGCAUAUGUCGUAUGGCAAGAACUACAAUAGCAAAGGGCUUUCACGGAGAAGGCAUUGUUAGUACAUAUACCAAUAGAAUAGAAAUGCCUUUCCUAAGCUAAUGGCUGUUGAAUAGUUGAGUGCUUGUUACAAAAGUCUGAUUAACCGUGUUAAGUAUCCAGUUUUGUAACUUAUUCUAUCUUGUACAAUUGGAUUAAGAUCUAUGUGAACAGUUGAUUGCUGAUUCAAAUAUUUUUUGAA